ACUCGCCGCUGAGACACUUUGGGAAUGAGGAGGGGUGCGGAGCGGCUUCCUCGGGGCAGAGGGACUGGCGUAGGCAUUUUUGCCAGAGACGAUGGAAAGUUGUACAGCGAUCAUCACAAGAGGGACUCUUGAAGGAUGGUUCGCAGAAGGGGAAAGAAAGGUGUUCCAAAGAGAGGUACCAUCGUGAACACAGGUAUUUUCAUGCAAUGGUGGUCCUAGGAACUGACUCGUGGCUCUGGAGGCCCACAGACAGAGCCCACCUUCUCUGCCACUUCCAGAGAAGUCUCCUGAGGCCGUUGCUAACCUCCACAUUACAACGGUUCUGAAAUGCCAAACCCAUCUGUAUAGCUCCCCCUAGUGCCCACUCAGGAAAUCAUAUCCUUUGGAGUUAAUAACAACAGCAACAAAAUCAAUAGCUAAAGUUUCUGAAUGCUAACUGAAGAAAUAUAUGUAGAGCACUUAGAACUUUGCCUG
This 474-nucleotide long non-coding RNA is filed under the name Sus scrofa (pig). RNAcentral describes it as "lncRNA (ENSSSCG00050071400.1)". The record is from RNAcentral. Lineage: Eukaryota; Metazoa; Chordata; Mammalia; Artiodactyla; Suidae.